Long non-coding RNA from Gavialis gangeticus (Gharial), 2772 nucleotides. RefSeq lists it as uncharacterized. Lineage: Eukaryota; Metazoa; Chordata; Crocodylia; Gavialidae. The record is from RefSeq and is a predicted model, not a curated record. The transcript is spliced from 2 exons.
ACUUUCUUUGAGACAACAAAACACUUAAAGUAUUUCACUUGUGCUAAAAUGUAUUUUAUCAUUUCUCCACCUAAUCUGUGUCAAAAUACUUUUGUUUAUGUGUGUGCAUUGUCUAUGGCAAAGACUUAACAGGCUGUGUUUCUUCAAAGGGUAUACAAGUACAAUCUUCAAACAGAAUUUAUUUUAGAAAUAGAUAAAUAAGACAUAAAAGCAACAGUGUUUGGUAAUUCAAUUUAAAAGCAAAAAAAUAUAUUUAAAAAUAUUUGUUAAAAAUUAUUUUACAAAUAAUACUUAAGAUCAGGAUGUACCAUAAAUAUUUGCACCAUGAUAAAACCAGAAAUAAUUGAGAAUGCAUAAGAAAAAAAGAUUUGCAUUACAGUGUAUGUUAAAAAAAUAAUUAUAUUUACAUCACAUACCAGAUUGUGACUGCCCCCUAUUACACUUUAGCAGUCCUCUGCUUAAUGAAAUUUAGAAGGACUUCAAGAGGUCCCAAAGUCCAAUAGCAUCUCUAAUAGAGAAUUUACACAAGCUACAGUUUACAUGUCAUGUACAACCUAUAAUAUUAGUUCUUCCUUAGCGUGACUCACUUAAAAUCAAGGUGAGCGACAUAUAUGUUGGAGAUUAUGAAUGGCACCAAGCUUUGGCACACCUGCAUUCGCAUAUAUCCCAGGCAUCAAUUAUAUGCCAAAGGAAGAAGAACAAUACCUGAAAGCCAUCUUUGGCCACGUGUAGCAUAGGGUUCAGUAUCUCAGUAUCAUAGGGAUCAGCAACUCAUCUAUACAUACCACUCCAUGCAAUGGAAAUGGGAAUGAGAAUGGUACAGAAGACAAAUAACAUAACGAAAUAUGCUGAGAUUAUGCUGAUUCAUAAUAAAAAUCCAAUAAUAAGGUUUCAAUAUAGUCAAGCCUCAAAUACAAUAAACUAACAGAAAUAUUUGAUGGCUAUUGCAAAAUGAAAUUAAUCAACCCUUCCAUUAAAAAGAAAAUUUAAACAGUCAAUUAACUUUGAAUUUAAAACUAUUCUUCUUAAUUUGACAUUCAAUAGGGAAAAGUUAGGAAAGAGCAUUAUCCUUCCCUUCUCUGACUGGCCCAGAACUAAAUGGUCUGCAUAUAUCUAUAUUUAAAAAGUGGUUAUCACUUAAGAGUUAUGGUACAAUGAGCCAACAGAAGAAAAGAGCUUUCAGAAAAAAUCUUCUGCCAGUUGCCAAGAUUUUAAAAAAGUAAUAUACAGAUGUAAGAAAACAAACACACAAAAUAUAAUUACACAAAUAGGAAGGAAUAAGUUAUCCUAAUAAAGCCUGCAAUCAAGUAUUGAACUUGACAUAAUUCUUAAGAGAUUCUAUUCCCUUGUAUUCUUUUCCCUUCAUCCCUUUUUGGAGAGGAGAAAGGGUUAACAGAUUUGGCUAAAUGACUCAAGGACUGGAGGAAGCCACAAAAAGACACUUACUUAGUAACCUGAAAUAUCUACCUACAGGCCAUUUAGAAGGAAUAAGGGUCUCCUAAACCUUCUUCUAAUGUUCACAACUAAUUCCUACAAAUUAUAAAAUCAUGUACUUUUUACUUCUUUUUACAGUUCAUAGCUUGUAUCAUACCCAGUAAGGAUAUGUUUAUAUAGCACUAUGCAAUACAAAGAUUUUAGAUUUAGCUCUGAAUGAACUAGCUCAGAUACUGGAAGCCAUAUAGGCACAUUCAUAGUUAACCCCAAUUAAUAUACCCAGCUUGUCAGGCUGGUACAUUAGCCUCAACAGAUCACUGUGCUAAUGUGGUUAUGCUGAUCUGAGUACCCAAUCUAACUCAAGUAUCCAUGCAUGGCUCUCCACUGUGCGACUCAGACAUUCCCUACAUUACUAGUAAAAAGUAACUGAGGAACUUUUCAGCCAGGAGUAGAAGUGGGGACACCAGGAUUCUCACAGGAAAAAAAAAUAUUUUAUAAUAUUUCCACCCCCUUAUUUCCAGUCUCAAGGGGUGCCUAUAGACAUGCUGUGAGGCUGCUUUGACACACUGUAAUUACAGUGCAUCAGAGCAAACCCAAUAGAUUAAUUUUUUUGCCAGACUCCAUUAAUUACCACACUCCAGCCAGUCUCUGCAUCUCAUGUAUCAGUUACCCCACCCCUCAAAAUGUUGGUGGGGGCACUUGAACUAAAACUUGUCGAAUGACCUUUAGUUCAAGUGCCCCCACCACUAUUUUGAAGUGCAGGAAUACUGAUAUGCAAGAUGUUACGGGGCUUAAAUUAGAGCAGCUCAAUGUAAAAGUGUCCAAGAAGAUCAGUUACUUGGAAAAAGCAUCACUAUAUCAUUAACACUUUUUGGUGCUUACAUGAGUUCAACAUAAAUGGUACUCCCACAGAUGUAAUAAGUGGGUCUUCAGCCCCUGCAUGAUAGAAUUUUUUUUGUUUUUUUGUUUAUUUUUCUUUUUUCAUUGUUCUGAAGUCUGGCUGAGUUCCUGCUGAACAGCUCUUCCCAACAUAGAAGCCAAUUGUUCAAACUAUAGAUUUCUUUACAGAUCCUUUACGAGAGACUUACAUUAUGUAGUAUUUAGGCAAAAACAUGCCAUUAGAAAAGGUCACGUUCAGCUUUUUAGAUCAAAUUAUCUUCCUUAAAUUCAAUCUCAUCCACUUCAAUACAGAUUUUUCUCAACUCCUAUACUGAAAAAUGAAAGUAGCAAGCCACAAGAGCUGGCUGAUUGCGGUAAAAAAAGUCAAAGGUGCACCUGAGCUAAACAGCCAAACAGGUAGCCUGAUUAGGCACACCAGUUUCCAUAAGUGACAUAAAA